CACGUAGGCGGACUCUUAAGUCGGGGGUGAAAGCCCAGGGCUCAACCCUGGAACUGCCUUCGAUACUGGGAGUCUUGAGUAUGGUAGAGGUUGGUGGAACUGCGAGUGUAGAGGUGAAAUUCGUAGAUAUUCGCAAGAACACCAGUGGCGAAGGCGGCCAACUGGACCAUUACUGACGCUGAGGUGCGAAAGCGUGGGGAGCAAACA
RNAcentral lists this ribosomal RNA (207 nucleotides) under uncultured bacterium. Its description in RNAcentral is "partial 16S ribosomal RNA". It matches the Rfam family "Bacterial small subunit ribosomal RNA", at positions 568 to 774 of the family's 1533-position model. The record is from RNAcentral.